This 1077-nucleotide ribosomal RNA is filed under the name Escherichia coli. RNAcentral's name for it is "partial 23S ribosomal RNA". It matches the Rfam family "Bacterial large subunit ribosomal RNA", at positions 418 to 1497 of the family's 2925-position model. The record is from RNAcentral. Lineage: Bacteria; Pseudomonadati; Pseudomonadota; Gammaproteobacteria; Enterobacterales; Enterobacteriaceae.
CGGGACACGUGGUAUCCUGUCUGAAUAUGGGGGGACCAUCCUCCAAGGCUAAAUACUCCUGACUGACCGAUAGUGAACCAGUACCGUGAGGGAAAGGCGAAAAGAACCCCGGCGAGGGGAGUGAAAAAGAACCUGAAACCGUGUACGUACAAGCAGUGGGAGCACAGAGCAAUCUGUGUGACUGCGUACCUUUUGUAUAAUGGGUCAGCGACUUAUAUUCUGUAGCAAGGUUAACCGAAUAGGGGAGCCGAAGGGAAACCGAGUCUUAACUGGGCGUUAAGUUGCAGGGUAUAGACCCGAAACCCGGUGAUCUAGCCAUGGGCAGGUUGAAGGUUGGGUAACACUAACUGGAGGACCGAACCGACUAAUGUUGAAAAAUUAGCGGAUGACUUGUGGCUGGGGGUGAAAGGCCAAUCAAACCGGGAGAUAGCUGGUUCUCCCCGAAAGCUAUUUAGGUAGCGCCUCGUGAAUUCAUCUCCGGGGGUAGAGCACUGUUUCGGCAAGGGGGUCAUCCCGACUUACCAACCCGAUGCAAACUGCGAAUACCGGAGAAUGUUAUCACGGGAGACACACGGCGGGUGCUAACGUCCGUCGUGAAGAGGGAAACAACCCAGACCGCCAGCUAAGGUCCCAAAGUCAUGGUUAAGUGGGAAACGAUGUGGGAAGGCCCAGACAGCCAGGAUGUUGGCUUAGAAGCAGCCAUCAUUUAAAGAAAGCGUAAUAGCUCACUGGUCGAGUCGGCCUGCGCGGAAGAUGUAACGGGGCUAAACCAUGCACCGAAGCUGCGGCAGCGACGCUGAUGCGUUGUUGGGUAGGGGAGCGUUCUGUAAGCCUGUGAAGGUGUGCUGUGAGGCAUGCUGGAGGUAUCAGAAGUGCGAAUGCUGACAUAAGUAACGAUAAAGCGGGUGAAAAGCCCGCUCGCCGGAAGACCAAGGGUUCCUGUCCAACGUUAAUCGGGGCAGGGUGAGUCGACCCCUAAGGCGAGGCCGAAAGGCGUAGUCGAUGGGAAACAGGUUAAUAUUCCUGUACUUGGUGUUACUGCGAAGGGGGGACGGAGAAGGCUAUGUUGGCCGGGCG